UUUAAAACUUAAAGGACUUGGCGGUGUUUUAGACUUUUCAGGGGAACCUGUCUCUUAAUCGAUAGUCCACGAUAGACCUAACUUUAUUUUAAGGUAUGUAUACCGUCGUCAGCAGGUGACUUUUAAAAAAAUAAAAGUUAGCAAGUAAAAAAAUUUGUUUUUUAUGUCAGAUCAAGGUGCAGCUUAUAAAAAAGUGAGGAUGGGUUACAAUUAAUAAAAUUUUAAUUACGGAAAUGUUGAUGAAAUUCAUAUUUGAAGGAGGACUU
RNAcentral lists this ribosomal RNA (266 nucleotides) under Pomacea canaliculata. Its description in RNAcentral is "partial 12S ribosomal RNA". Lineage: Eukaryota; Metazoa; Mollusca; Gastropoda; Architaenioglossa; Ampullariidae. The record is from RNAcentral.